CUUAUCCCAAUUAAUUGCAGAGAAAUGGGUGUUUUGUCCCUUGGCGUGAAGAAAUGAUAGUUAAAAUUUAAUUGUAUCUUUUCAGUAUCAUAAUUUAAGUUGCUUAGAAAUUAUGUAUGACCAUACCACUUGAUGGAUGGAAUAUAAGGAUUAACCUCAGGGGUUAAAUGGUUGUACACAGUAACCUUUUUUGACAAGCAUUAUCAGUUUUUUAAUUUAAAAGGGUUAAGUUGGCUCAAAGCUGUACAAUCAUGAAUUUUAUAAUGAUCUGGUAUGGGAAAAUGUGCAUAAAUCUAAAAUCUGUCUAGCAAAGGAGAAAGUGAAUACGGUCACACAGCAUAUGUUGGCUAUUUUUACGAUGCUCUGGAAUGCAGGAACUGACCCCAAAAUUUGUUAUUCCACUUUUAACGCAAUUGGACGGAAUUGAGAAGGUUUGAACCACUUCUAGCCUUCCUCCUUCCGCACUUGGAGCCGACAAUGAUAGGAUUAGACCACUCAAAUUUAUUCGAGAUAGUCAUUCUCUGCAGAUGGAAUUUUUUUGA
This 542-nucleotide long non-coding RNA is filed under the name Bos taurus (domestic cattle). RNAcentral's name for it is "long non-coding RNA NONBTAT007305". The record is from RNAcentral. Lineage: Eukaryota; Metazoa; Chordata; Mammalia; Artiodactyla; Bovidae.